This is a small nuclear RNA of Phyllostomus discolor (pale spear-nosed bat), 103 nucleotides long. The record is from RefSeq and is a predicted model, not a curated record. Lineage: Eukaryota; Metazoa; Chordata; Mammalia; Chiroptera; Phyllostomidae.
GUUCUUGCUUCGGUAGCACACAUACUAAAAUUGGAGCGAUACAGAGAAGAUUAGCAUGGCCCCUGCACAAAAUACAGACCAAUAAAAAAAUGCCUCAAUCAAU